Schistocerca nitens (vagrant locust) is the source of this 107-nucleotide small nuclear RNA. Lineage: Eukaryota; Metazoa; Arthropoda; Insecta; Orthoptera; Acrididae. The record is from RefSeq and is a predicted model, not a curated record.
GUACUCGCUUCGGUGUUACAUAUACUAAAAUUGAAACGAUACAGAGAAGAUUGACAUGACUCCUGCGCAAGGAUGACACGCAAAAUCAUGAAUCAUUCCACAGAAGU